UACGGAGGAUGCGAGCGUUAUCCGGAUUUAUUGGGUUUAAAGGGUGCGUAGGCGGACUGUCAAGUCAGCGGUAAAAUUGAGAGGCUCAACCUCUUCCCGCCGUUGAAACUGGUGGUCUUGAGUGGAUGAGAAGUACGCGGAAUGCGUGGUGUAGCGGUGAAAUGCAUAGAUAUCACGCAGAACUCCGAUUGCGAAGGCAGCGUACCGGCAUCCAACUGACGCUGAGGCACGAAAGCGUGGGUAUCGAACAGG
Molecule: ribosomal RNA, 252 nt
Filed under: uncultured bacterium
Lineage: Bacteria
Description: partial 16S ribosomal RNA
Rfam family: Bacterial small subunit ribosomal RNA
Source: RNAcentral